Molecule: transfer RNA, 402 nt
Filed under: uncultured Microcystis sp.
Lineage: Bacteria; Bacillati; Cyanobacteriota; Cyanophyceae; Chroococcales; Microcystaceae
Description: bacterial LSU rRNA
Rfam family: tRNA (bases 135-208)
Source: RNAcentral
AAGGGAGACCUAAUUCCGGUAGGAGACGAAAAAAAAGUAGUCCCUACCAAGAAUCAAUCCCAAAAGGUCGGAGCGAGGCAAAAUUGGCUUUCAAACUAGGUUCUGGGUUCACACAAGACCUGAAUCAGGAACAAGGGCUAUUAGCUCAGGUGGUUAGAGCGCACCCCUGAUAAGGGCGAGGUCCCUGGUUCGAGUCCAGGAUGGCCCACCUGUACAGGUGGCAAAAAGAAAGAAAAGAAGCGAGGAAUCAGCACAUUAUCUUACUUAUAUAGUAAGAGAGAAUGCUGGCUCUGAGUUCAGAGUCCAGAGGAACCUUGAAAACUGCAUAGAGCUAGGUGAAAAAGCCAAAAAAGAAGACCGCAAGGUCAAGCUAAUAAGGGCUAACGGUGGAUACCUAGGCAC